ACUCUGCAAGUAGACUCCAGAAGCAAUCUUUAGGAUCCUUGGAAGAGAGGAAAGAGACAGUGAUGCGAUAAAAUCCCGGAGAGGGACAGCAUUCUCCAUCUCCUCCAUGACAGAGUGUAUGGACUAAGAGACAGAAGCAAUAUCACAAGUUCUUCACUGAAUUAAGGCAGAGCAUGCAGAAUGCUCUCACAGAAGGGGAUUCUUAGUACAUUUCCUGACACUUCUCAUAACUAAGCUAGAUGUGAUGCAUAUGAGGAACUUGAAC
Pelobates cultripes (western spadefoot toad) is the source of this 265-nucleotide non-coding RNA. Lineage: Eukaryota; Metazoa; Chordata; Amphibia; Anura; Pelobatidae. The record is from the annotation of a GenBank genome assembly.